This 1276-nucleotide long non-coding RNA is filed under the name Homo sapiens (human). RNAcentral's name for it is "HSALNT0351240". The record is from RNAcentral. Lineage: Eukaryota; Metazoa; Chordata; Mammalia; Primates; Hominidae.
CCCAGCGCCGCUCGGGCGCGCCAAUUUAGGGAAAAGGCUCCGCCCAUGCCCCGCCCCCUGAGACCUGGCGCCGGGCGCUUUGAGGCCCGGCUUACUCCCUUGCUGGUUAUGCAAAGUGUAGUCCCUGAACCAGCAGCCUCAGCAUCCUGAGGGAAUUUGUUAAAAACGCGAAAUCUCAAGCCCUACCCAGACUUACUGAAUCAGUGUCUGCAUUGCAACAAGAUCCCCUGGUAAUUCCUAUGCACAUCAAAAUUUGGAAGGCACAGCUCUCAACUGAUGUCCUGGGUCUCCUUCACAUCCAUCCUGGGAAGGUCUUAUUCCUCAUUCCUGAGCUCAUCCCACUGAAGAGCUAUGGCACUUCCAAUUCCUGAGCCUUUGUGAGGUUCUGCGUGUCAGUAAGCUUGCUUCCGGGCAUCACCUCCGAAAACACUUGGGUUUCAGUUUUCUCUGUGAGGCUUCUUAAGGAGUGGAGGAAAGUGGAUGUUUUCAAGAUAACGCAGCUAACAUUCAAAGAGGUUAAGUGAAUUGUCCAAAGUCACACAGCAAGCACUGGAGGUAAGAUUCAAACCUGAAUAGUCUAUCAUUUCAGAGUACUUUCAACACUAUGCAAUACUAUCUCUCUAGCAAUCAGCCAGAUUGAAUAAGAUCUGUAGUUCACAGAGCCACUUGCAUUUUUAAUCCUAGUUUAAUUAACUUAGGAAAUUUGUAUCUAAAGGAUGCAUCUUUUUUUUUUUUUUUUUCAAUAGAGGCAGUGUCUCACCAUGUUGCCCAGACUGGCCUCAAACUUCUGGGCUCAAACCAUCCUCCCAUCUCAGCCUUCCAAAUGCUGAGAUUACAGGCGUGAGCCACCACGUCCCACCGGGAUACAUAGGUUUUACGGUAUCCUCUGAACCUCCCUUUAAUCAAGAGAGUGGACAAAACUGUGGGUCCCUCAUUUUCAAAAUGGCCAGUAAAAGAGGAAAUAAGGAUAUGCAAUGUUUAGUUAUUUUCUGCUGCCCUCUUUAAGUUGAUUGGGGAUCUCUUUGUCACUACUUUGGGAAGAUAACUUACCUUCUUAUCCACUAUGGCUAAUUGGAGCUUUUCUCAUGUCUUUAUGGUUGCUGGGAAAUUUUCAAAUAAAAUUCACUGGGAAUGGUUUGAAAUUGCAGAAUUUUUAGCCUCCCGAUGUUUUAUUUUCCUCUAGUGAGUUGGACAUAAAUAAUAUCCUCUUUUGAGAUUUGUAUCUUUGAAAGACAUUUUUUUUUAAGUUUCUCAGUGAAACAAAGAAAAAAUUAGA